This 426-nucleotide ribosomal RNA is filed under the name uncultured prokaryote. RNAcentral's name for it is "bacterial SSU rRNA". It matches the Rfam family "Bacterial small subunit ribosomal RNA", at positions 355 to 796 of the family's 1533-position model. The record is from RNAcentral.
UGGGGAAUUUUCCGCAAUGGGCGCAAGCCUGACGGAGCAAUACCGCGUGAGGGAGGAAGGCUUUUGGGUUGUAAACCUCUUUUCUCAGGGAAGAAGCUCUGACGGUACCUGAGGAAUCAGCAUCGGCUAACUCCGUGCCAGCAGCCGCGGUAAUACGGAGGGUGCGAGCGUUAAUCGGAAUUACUGGGCGUAAAGCGCGCGUAGGUGGUUCUGUAAGUCGGAUGUGAAAGCCCAGGGCUUAACCUUGGAACUGCAUUCGAUACUGCAGAACUAGAGUAUGGUAGAGGGAAGUGGAAUUUCCGGUGUAGCGGUGAAAUGCGUAGAUAUCGGAAGGAACACCAGUGGCGAAGGCGACUUCCUGGGCCAAUACUGACACUGAGGUGCGAAAGCGUGGGGAGCAAACAGGAUUAGAUACCCCCGUAGUCC